RNAcentral lists this ribosomal RNA (966 nucleotides) under Chimarrogale platycephalus (flat-headed water shrew). RNAcentral describes it as "partial 16S ribosomal RNA". It matches the Rfam family "Bacterial large subunit ribosomal RNA", at positions 961 to 2578 of the family's 2925-position model. Lineage: Eukaryota; Metazoa; Chordata; Mammalia; Eulipotyphla; Soricidae. The record is from RNAcentral.
CAAUUCCUAUGUAAAUUUAAUUGUUAAUCUGAAGAGGUACAGCUCUUCAGACUAAGGAUACAACCUUAAUUAGAGAAUAAAUCACAUAAAUCAUCAUAGUAGGCUUAAGAGCAGCCACCAAUUAAGAAAGCGUUCAAGCUCAACAAUUUUACUCAUCUUAAUCCCAUUAUUUAAAAUUAAUUCCUAAUUAUAUACUGGACUAAUCUAUAAUUUCAUAGAAGAAAUACUGUUAAUAUGAGUAACAAGAUUAAUAUCUCCAAGCGUAAACUUAUGUCAGACCAAAUAAUAACUGAUAGUUAACAGCCUACUAAACAAAACCUAAUAUUAACUAUUUAGACAUUCACUGUUAACCCGACCCAGGAACGCAUUAAUAGGAAAGAUUCAAAGAAGUAAAAGGAACUCGGCAAACAUAAACCCCGCCUGUUUACCAAAAACAUCACCUCUAGCAUUAUUAGUAUUAGAGGCACUGCCUGCCCAGUGACAACUGUUAAACGGCCGCGGUAUCCUGACCGUGCAAAGGUAGCAUAAUCAUUUGUUCCUUAAAUAGGGACUUGUAUGAAUGGCCACACGAGGGUUUAACUGUCUCUUACUUCCAAUCAGUGAAAUUGACCUUUCCGUGAAGAGGCGGAAAUAAAUUAAUAAGACGAGAAGACCCUAUGGAGCUUUAAUUAACUAAUCCAUCAGAAUUAUUAUUUACCAACAAGGAAUAACCUACUAUUCUAUCUGGAUUAAAAAUUUCGGUUGGGGUGACCUCGGAGUAUAAUAAAACCUCCGAGAAUUUAUACUAAGACCAACAAGUCAAAGUAAAUUAUAUUUAUUAUGAUCCAGUAAAACUGAUCAACGGAAUAAGUUACCCUAGGGAUAACAGCGCAAUCCUAUUUAAGAGUCCAUAUCGACAAUAGGGUUUACGACCUCGAUGUUGGAUCAGGACAUCCUAAUGGUGCAGCAGCUAUUAAGGGUUCGUUU